GCGGGUAUAGCUCAGUGGUAGAACAGUGCUUACCAUGCAUAAAGUCCUGGGUUCCAUCCCCAGUACCUCCA
Molecule: transfer RNA, 71 nt
Filed under: Camelus dromedarius (Arabian camel)
Lineage: Eukaryota; Metazoa; Chordata; Mammalia; Artiodactyla; Camelidae
Also listed under: 1 other name
Rfam family: tRNA
About the family: Transfer RNA (tRNA) molecules are approximately 80 nucleotides in length. Their secondary structure includes four short double-helical elements and three loops (D, anti-codon, and T loops).
Source: Rfam by way of RNAcentral